UGGGGAAUAUUGGACAAUGAGGGCAACCCUGAUCCAGCAAUGCCGCGUGUGUGAAGAAGGUCUUCGGAUUGUAAAGCACUUUCGACGGGGACGAUGAUGACGGUACCCGUAGAAGAAGCCCCGGCUAACUUCGUGCCAGCAGCCGCGGUAAUACGAAGGGGGCUAGCGUUGCUCGGAAUGACUGGGCGUAAAGGGCGUGUAGGCGGUUUACACAGUCAGAUGUGAAAUCCCCGGGCUUAACCUGGGAGCUGCAUUUGAUACGUGUAGACUAGAGUGUGAGAGAGGGUUGUGGAAUUCCCAGUGUAGAGGUGAAAUUCGUAGAUAUUGGGAAGAACACCGGUGGCGAAGGCGGCAACCUGGCUCAUGACUGACGCUGAGGCGCGAAAGCGUGGGGAGCAAACAGGAUUAGAUACCCUGGUAGUCC
Molecule: ribosomal RNA, 424 nt
Filed under: uncultured bacterium
Lineage: Bacteria
Description: partial 16S ribosomal RNA
Rfam family: Bacterial small subunit ribosomal RNA
Source: RNAcentral